CUCUUUCCCCUCUUGCCCCUCUCCAGCUUUUCUGGUCCAACCCUCUUCUGCGCCUAACACUGGCACCUCCUUUUCUUCCGGCUGAUGAAUAAUUGUCCGCAAACCAGCCUCUCUGGGGCACUGAGGGGCGGGAAGGUUAGAAGGAGCCAGGGCUAGAGUCCUGGAAGGUGGCAGUCAGGUCGCAGGGCCACAGCAGUCACUCUGCGACUCUCUCUUCCGGUGUUUCUCCAGCGCCAAGCGGGAGAAGACGGAGCCUGGGAGCUGGGACUGGAGGAGCGGGAAGCGCAGUAUCGGGACCACGGCUCUGGGACCAGGAAAAACGCAGACUCUCCAGAGUCAAUGUCUACUUCAGCCAGCUCAAGGGCGCGACAACCUGGCGCCGAGCAUCUCAGGCCGCCGCGGGGACCCCCCCUAAGGGACUCGGGAACACCUGCCUACCCUAGAAGAGGCGGAGAAUAACCCCGUAGGGAGUUAAGCGGCCUCUGCCUACAGCGUUCCUCCCGCCUCCACGGCGCCGAGCCCUGAUUGACGUUCAGCCAGGCCAAUCAUAGCCUGUGUCUGAGGCGCGCGGAGCUGGAGCGCCCAGGGCAUGUCCGCCGAUCCCAAGGAGGCAAUCUGUCAGGCGCCGCCCGGGCGGCAGUAUGCCUGAGGGGGUCCUCCGUGUUCGCGCCUCCCGCCGCCUGCACUGAAAGGUCUGUACCUGAGCCUGGAUACUUGAACAGAGGCAGACACUGCGGCUCAAAACCCCAAGGAAUAUCCUAGCUCUGAGACAAAAAUUGGGAACCUCAGCAUGAGUUUGUCACCUGAAUGAAAUAAAAAAAAUCACGUUGAAGGCUGGUGCAGUAACAUGUGCCUGUAGUCCCAGCUACUCUGGAGGCUGAGUCAGGAGGAUCACUUGAGACCAGAAGUUCAGGAAUUCAAGACUGGCUUGAGCAACAUAGCAAGACUUCAUUUCAAAACAAACAGAAAAAAGCCACCACCUUCAGUAUUUCUUGCCAAAGCAAAGGAGCCAUUUGUUCUUUACGAUGGUCAGGAAAGGAAGCAUCAAGGUCAUCAAAUGAAAAAUUUUCAGCAUUUCAGCCUCUCUGCUCAGGGAAAUAUCUGAAUCUAGAAUAUCACAACAUGAGCCAAAACCGCCCCAUUUCUCAUGCCACAUGUCACUCUUAACACAAGGUUACUCAACCUCGAGCAUGGUUGGCAUUUGGGGCUGAAUAAUUCUUUUUUGUAGGGGGCUGUCCUGGGCAUUGUAGGAUGCUCAUGAGCUACCUCAGUCUCUACCACCCACUAGAUGCCAGUAGCAUUGACCCCUGAUCUCUCUACCCAAGUUGUGACAACUAAAACCAUCUCUGGAUAAUGGAGGAACCUUAAAUGCAUAUUGCUAAGGAAAAGCCAAUCUGAAAGGAUUACAUAUUGUAUGAGUCCAACUAUAUGGUAAUCUGGAAAAGGCAAAACCAUGGAGACAGUGAAAAGGUAGUGGUUACCAGUGGUCCAUGGGAAGGGUUGGAUGAAUAGGUGGAGCACAGAGGAUUUUUAAGGCAGUGAAACUAUUCUGAAUGAUACUGUAAUGGUGGAUACAUGUCAUACCUUUGUCAAAACCAAUAAAAUAUAACAACCAAUAAAACUGCACAAAGAGUGAACCCUAAUGUAAACUAUGGACUUAAUAAUGUAUCAAUAUUGGCUCACCAAUUUUAACAAAUGUACCACACUAAUGCAAGAUGUUACUAAUAGUGGAAACUGGAGGGAAGAGGGCUUGAGGGGACAUACGGGAACUCUCUGUAAUUCCUGUUCAGUUUUUCUGUAACUGUUAAACUGUCCAAAAAAAGUCUGUUUUUAUAAAUGGAGGCAUGGUUUUAUAUGGACUAAAAUACUAUGAUUGCCUUUUUAUUUUACACAUGGUGAAAUUAGAGCAGGACAUAUUUUAAACUCAAAAUUCACAAAAUUAAUUUAUGAAAAUGUUUACCCAGAUCAAGAAUAUUAAAGAAACUUAGAUUAAUAUUGUUACCUUGAAUUUAUUUUACUGAGUAAUCCUCUAAGACUCCUCUACACAUUAUUAAUCUAGAAGGAUUUUUAAAGUCUUUAUGACAAUUAAUUAUUGGUCUACAGUCAAAUUGCGUAUCCCCAUUAACUAGAGUUAUAUUUUUCCAUUUUCUGAUCCAAAAACUUUAGGAACAGGAAAUGUUUAUUUUAGAAAACAAGAACACUUCUUAAGCAUUUGCUGUUAACAGUUAUUUUCACAUGUGCUUGUACUUAUUUUACACUUGUCAGAACAUAGUAUUUACCUUUGAACCAAGGUUUUAUAAUAAGCAAGCACUUUUUUUAUUUAGAAGUCACAUUUUCCAAGUAGAAAAAUCAUUAAAAAUUCAGUCCUCUGAAGGCUAAUUUCUUUAAAUCAUUUAACCUAAUUGUUUAAGGUAUAGAUUGGAAUUUUUCUCAGCACUCUCUUGAAAACAGGUGACAGUGGAACCCUGUUAGGUUCACAAAUCCUAGACUUUGAUUAUAUAGCCCAGGCUCAAAUUUUUCUCGAAUGUUACGAACAUUCAAAGCAUUAGGAGUCUUGGUUUCAUUUCUUAAUUUUUUUUCUUCUGGGUAUAUUUGAGACUCAUCUUGGAUUCAAAUAAAUUAAUAAUAGUCUCAUGAAACCGAUAAAAAUGGGAGCUCCAUUGAACAUGAGAGACAUUGAUUCGUAGUUUCUAACAUCCUCCAAAUGAGGAGCCCAUCCCUAAUUUAGAUGCUUCUUUCAAAGGAGGCUCCUUUCCUUCGUUAUCCAUAAUAUAGUCACACCAGUCCUGAAAAAACAUGGAACAGACUCCAGAUCUUUAUAUUUCAUACUCUAAAGUCGUACAAGCCAAUCUGCAUUUCCUCUAGUGGAAACUGUAUAGCUGGUCAUCUUUCCAGGACCCUUUUAUCAAGAAACAAUGCAGCUUCUACAUUUGUGCUGCUUCUACACCAAAACAGCUGGAAUGUAUAUAGUAUGGUUCUGGAUGCUCUUGUAUACCUCACUCUUCAUUUCUCACCUAACCCAUGUGCUAUGAUUUGAAUGUUUCUCCCCUGCAAAACUCAUGUUGAAAUGUAAUUGCCAUGAUAACAGUAUUAAUAGGUGGAAUAUUUAAGAGGUGAUUAGGGUGGGAUUGGUGAUGUUAUAAAAGGGUAAGUUCAGCCCCUUCUUGCUCUCUCUGUCACCCUUCCACCUUCCUCUGUGUGAUGAUGCAACAAAAAAGCCCUUCCCAGAUGCCAGCAUCUUGAUUUUGGACUUCUCAGCCUACAGAACUAUAAGCCAAUAAAUUUCUGUUAUUUGUUAUUAGUCUGUGAUAUUCUGUUACAGUAGCACAAAAUGGACUAUGACACCAUGUGUUUACACAGAAAGAAAAAAAUAUCAUACGGUAAUUGCUCCUAAAUAUGCAGAGAAUAUGUUCUGAUAUCCUUAGUGGAUGCCUGAAACUGCAGAUAGUACCAAACCUUAUAUAUACUAUGUUUUUUUUCCCAUACAUAUGCAUGUUAAAGUUUAUAAGUUAGGCAGAGUAAGAUAUGAACAAUAACUAAUAAUGAAAUAGAAACGUAACGAUGUGCUGUAAUAAAAGUUAUGUGACUGAC
Molecule: long non-coding RNA, 3591 nt
Filed under: Homo sapiens (human)
Lineage: Eukaryota; Metazoa; Chordata; Mammalia; Primates; Hominidae
Description: non-protein coding lnc-PSMB9-6:4
Source: RNAcentral